GGCAGAGGGGGCAAGCGUUGUCCGGAUUUACUGGGCGUACAGCGCGCGCAGGCGGUCGUGCAGGUACCUGGUGACAAACAUGCGCUCAACGCAUGAGGGACUGGGUAAACCGCAGGACUGGAGGCAGGGAGAGGGAUGUGGAAUACCCGGUGGAGCGGUGAAAUGCGUAGAGAUCGGGUGGAACACCAGUGGCGAAGGCGGCAUCCUGGCCCUGACCUGACGCUGAGGCGCGAGAGCGUGGGGAGCGAACGGG
This 253-nucleotide ribosomal RNA is filed under the name uncultured Acidobacteriota bacterium. Its description in RNAcentral is "uncultured Acidobacteria bacterium partial 16S ribosomal RNA". It matches the Rfam family "Bacterial small subunit ribosomal RNA", at positions 524 to 776 of the family's 1533-position model. Lineage: Bacteria; Pseudomonadati; Acidobacteriota. The record is from RNAcentral.